Molecule: long non-coding RNA, 314 nt
Filed under: Elaeis guineensis (African oil palm)
Lineage: Eukaryota; Viridiplantae; Streptophyta; Magnoliopsida; Arecales; Arecaceae
Description: long non-coding RNA (EGUI_LNC014186)
Source: RNAcentral
AGAUUGAGCACAAUCAAAUAUACAGAAAUGGAUGGCUGAUAUCCAAUUAUCAGAUCUCGAGCACUGUAGAUAUUUAUUCAUUUCGAUAAACAUGUCUUGGAAUUGGUACCUCUUAGUUUUGGAUUUGAAGGAGCGAUGCUUUGACUGCUAUAACUCAAUGUAGAGCUUCAAUGUAUCAGAUGAUGCUAAUAAAUAUGUGUAUAACAUUAUUCAAUAUUUGUUUGUUACUUUUAUUUGUAACAACAUCUAUAAGUAAUUUAUUGUAUUUCUUACCAUAUGUGUGUGGGCAAUGUUUGUACAUUUUUAGUUGCCAG